Molecule: non-coding RNA, 1732 nt
Organism: Punica granatum (pomegranate)
Lineage: Eukaryota; Viridiplantae; Streptophyta; Magnoliopsida; Myrtales; Lythraceae
Source: RefSeq, a predicted model, not a curated record
UUGAGUUGAACAUUUUUCCGAAAACAAACACAGUGUUUGGGAAUCCAAACAUAGCCUUAGACUUCUACCAAAGAAAAAUGAAUAUUCCAGAACUUUAAGCUGAUUUGGUAUAUAUAACAGAGCUGUCACUCCUUUGCUGUUUUAGCACCUUUCCCCCAAGGAUCAAGACAUGGUUAAGAACUUCAAGAAUAUGCAACAUUCGAGUAGAUCUCUUCCAAGAAAAUGGUCCACUUGUCCGCCAAAAAUAAGCAAGAAUCCUCCUUACAGAUUUAUGCAUCGUCAAUAUGGGAAAUCAUUGUGGCCACUUUAAGUAAUCAUUUAUAGUGAAGCCUAUGAACAACUUUAAUUUAUUUCUCAAACUGAUAACAAGAAAUUAUCCACAUAACCAAUAUGAUUAAAUAUGUAGCAUAGACAAGUCACAAACGCAAGGCUUAUAGCUCUAUUGGUAGAGCACUCGUUUACAUGUGCGCCAAUGAUAUUCAGCAUACCCCGAUAAAAGUUGCUCUGGGAGACUACUUUGCUGUUGAUCUGGGAUGAGCCCUGAUAAAGUUUGUGCUCUAGGAGCUGCAAUUUCGAGGUUGUAUAUUACGUGGGGAUGUAAAAGAACUGCUGCUUCUCGAUUUCACUUCAUUAUCGCUUGGCAUCAAAACCAUUGGCGGUGUACUCGGAAGUCACAAGGCUCAUCAACAGAAAAACAACUACUACUACGAAGAGUCAGGGUGGAGGACAGAACCCCAAGACCAAUUAUGAUGAGGUGACGAAAUAAUUUUGAUUGGACCAGAUGUUCUCGUACUCUACUUCAACGCCCAACUAGGUAUCUCGAUCCCUCCUUCCCUUCGCCUACUGAGGAUACAGAUACUUAUAUCGCGGUUUUUGCAUGUAAAUAAUGGAGGUUUCAUGCAAGAUAUAGCUAAAUGGGAGAAACGGGUACUUCUCGAAUUUAAACGGGCCAACCCAUGCAGUUUUCCCUUUUUAAAUUGUUGAUUUUCCGAUGUGGAAAAUUCAUGCGUAUCUAGAUGUGUGCUGUCAAUCUCUCUCAUAACGGAUUAUGCUUUCAGUGAUUAAAUCUUUUACUUACUGAAAAGAUUUCGAUGAAUUAACAAGGAAAUGGCAUAGAAUUGCAUUAGAGUAUAGAAUGAUUCGGCUUACCUGUGUUUUUGCAAUAUGUUCUACUAUUAUAUAAAUGGGAUUUUAUGGUCAUGUCAUUGGCAACUAUAGUUUUCGUCUAGACAGGAGUCAAUAGCUAUAAACCAUUUGUUACAGAAUAGAGCACUCGUGAUAAUCUGCCACUCCAUGGAGAAAUUUAGAACAUAGUUAGGUCUGAGGAUAGCGGCUGUAUCCAUAAUAUCGUAUUUCCACUGCAGUUGAUGUUAAGUAGCUCAAGACAGGUUGCCAAGGAAACGCGAAACACUUUCAUUACGGAUAUAUAUUUGUACAGAUAUUCUAUACAUUAACUGAAAAGGGCGGUUGAAAUACGAAAACUGAACAUGGUCUACCGGUGCUAAUGCAGUAUAUCAAUUGCUCUCAAGCAUGGCCCCCAACAGAGGAGGCCAAGGAACUAUCCUGAGUAUAUGCUGCUGUAUCUCACUGUAUAUACUCUGUUACUGCAUAAUUUCUGCAUAGUAAUAUCUUGUGAAUGAUGAAACCGGACCAAACAAUUAAUCUUCCUAUUUCUUGACCACCAUCCACAACAGCAUGAUGUGGGUAAACAUCUGCUCCAAUGCAUAAGAUU